Molecule: long non-coding RNA, 352 nt
Filed under: Anser brachyrhynchus (Pink-footed goose)
Lineage: Eukaryota; Metazoa; Chordata; Aves; Anseriformes; Anatidae
Description: lncRNA (ENSABRG00000004038.1)
Source: RNAcentral
CUGCUGGGAAGACUUGUAGCAUCAUCCUGGAGGAAAUCCUGCUUAUCAUGUCAGCUGCCAGUCAUCAAGGUCCAAUUCUGCCCCUGUUGUCUCUUGGGAUCCAGUCCCAUGUUGCUUCAACCCAAAUUUCUCCUGCUGCAACACCUCGUGGCACGAUCAGCUAUUCCCCCUCUGCUGCCACAGCCUGCUGAUGCAUCGAUGGGCAGGAGCUGGGGGGGGGAGAACCUUUGCUGGAGAGCGGUGGGCUCAGCUGUUGGACAAAACAGACCAAGAGGCAAGAGGUGGGAAGAAAAAAAGUAAGGAGAGGAAAAAAGAGCAUCACUCGUAGCCCUGGGGGGGGGUUAUUCAAGGC